GAAUAUUGGACAAUGGGGGGAACCCUGAUCCAGCCAUGCCGCGUGUGUGAAGAAGGCCUUUUGGUUGUAAAGCACUUUAAGCGAGGGGGAGGCUACUCUAGUUAAUAACAAGAGAUAGUGGACGUUACUCGCAGAAUAAGCACCGGCUAACUCUGUCCCAGCCGCCGCGGUAAUACAGAGGGUGCAAGCGUUAAACGGAUUUAAUGGGCGUAAAGCGCGCGUAGGUGGCCAAUUAAGUCAAAUGUGGAAUCCCCGAGCUUAACUUGGGAAUUGCAUUCGAUACUGGUUGGCUAGAGUAUGGGAGAGGAUGGUAGAAUUCCAGGUGUAGCGGUGAAAUGCGUAGAGAUCUGGAGGAAUACCGAUGGCGAAGGCAGCCAUCUGGCCUAAAACUGACACUGAGGUGCGAAAGCAUGGGGAGCAAACA
Molecule: ribosomal RNA, 424 nt
Filed under: uncultured bacterium
Lineage: Bacteria
Description: bacterial SSU rRNA
Rfam family: Bacterial small subunit ribosomal RNA
Source: RNAcentral